RNAcentral lists this ribosomal RNA (525 nucleotides) under uncultured bacterium. RNAcentral's name for it is "bacterial SSU rRNA". It matches the Rfam family "Bacterial small subunit ribosomal RNA", at positions 777 to 1300 of the family's 1533-position model. The record is from RNAcentral.
AAUAGAUACCCGGGUAGUCCACGCCGUAAACGAUGAGUGCUAAGUGUUGGAGGGUUUCCGCCCUUCAGUGCUGCAGCUAACGCAUUAAGCACUCCGCCUGGGGAGUACGGUCGCAAGACUGAAACUCAAAGGAAUUGACGGGGGCCCGCACAAGCGGUGGAGCAUGUGGUUUAAUUCGAAGCAACGCGAAGAACCUUACCAGGUCUUGACAUCUCCUGACCGCCCUGGAGACAGGGUCUUCCCUUCGGGGACAGGAUGACAGGUGGUGCAUGGUUGUCGUCAGCUCGUGUCGUGAGAUGUUGGGUUAAGUCCCGCAACGAGCGCAACCCUUGGUUCUAGUUGCCAGCAUUGAGUUGGGCGCUCUAGAGCGACUGCCGGCGACAAGUCGGAGGAAGGUGGGGAUGACGUCAAAUCAUCAUGCCCCUUAUGACCUGGGCUACACACGUGCUACAAUGGAUGGUACAAAGGGCAGCGAAGCGGCGACGCAUGAGCGAAUCCCAGAAAACCCAUUCUCAGUUCGGAUUG